CUCUCUCUCUCUCUCUCUCGGUUGAUUGUUUGACUGUAUUUUCUUUGUCACCUUAUUGUAAUAUUUCAAUUGGCUGUUAUAUAAGAGACUUUACAUGGUUUUUCUAUAGAUUUGUAAUGUUACAUCAAUGCAGUAGACAUGGUUGUUUGUCACCAAAAUUUGUGGAAGUGUUUUAUCGGGAUCAUGAUUCUUUGAGGAAUCGCUAGCAUUGUGUUGUUUGCAAUUUACUUGUCAAGAGUAGGAUGGUUAUACUGCCUCAAUGUGCUUAGUCAUUACUAUUGACAAAACAACAGGGUAAUGCUGGCAGACAAUUUUUGCAAAUAUUAUGAUCUUAUCCGGAUGCAAAAUAUAUCUAAACUCUGCUUUUUGGUAUAAAUAAUAAAUGAAUGUGUGUUGCAACAUCUAUUAUGUGUGCCCCACAUUCAUGUUCAACUCAAAUGACCCUUAAUUUGAAACUAGUUGGGGUUGUCUUUCCAUUUCAAUGUAAUGAUAUUCAAUUUGACAGCCGCAUCCAUGCCAAACAUUAAAUAUCACCUAUGCACUCUCAAAAGUUGGUGAACUUUUAUGGUUGAAAGUUGAAAUGACCUAAGGAUUUCCAUCUAACUGAAUGAACUGGGGAUCAUGCAAACAUGGUUUAUGUAUUUGUAACUUGGGGUAAAUAGAAGCUUUGUAAGUGUAUGUAACUUCAUGCUUUUUUUGGUCACAG
RNAcentral lists this unclassified non-coding RNA (706 nucleotides) under Hevea brasiliensis (rubber tree). The record is from RNAcentral. Lineage: Eukaryota; Viridiplantae; Streptophyta; Magnoliopsida; Malpighiales; Euphorbiaceae.